CACGUAGGGCGCAAGCGUUGUCCGGAAUUAUUGGGCGUAAAGAGCUCGUAGGCGGUCUGUUACGUCUGCUGUGAAAACCCGGGGCUUAACCCUGGGCUUGCAGUGGAUACGGGCAGACUAGAGGCAGGUAGGGGAGAAUGGAAUUCCCGGUGUAGCGGUGAAAUGCGCAGAUAUCAGGAGGAACACCGAUGGCGAAGGCAGGUCUCUGGGCCACUACUGACGCUGAGAAGCGAAAGCAUGGGGAGCGAACAGG
This 253-nucleotide ribosomal RNA is filed under the name uncultured bacterium. Its description in RNAcentral is "partial 16S ribosomal RNA". It matches the Rfam family "Bacterial small subunit ribosomal RNA", at positions 524 to 776 of the family's 1533-position model. The record is from RNAcentral.